CCUACGGGAGGCAGCAGUAGGGAAUCUUCCACAAUGGGCAAAAGCCUGAUGGAGCAACGCCGCGUGGGUGAAGAAGGUCUUCGGAUCGUAAAACCCUGUUGUUAGAGAAGAAAGUGCGUGAGAGUAACUGUUCACGUUUCGACGGUAUCUAACCAGAAAGCCACGGCUAACUACGUGCCAGCAGCCGCGGUAAUACGUAGGUGGCAAGCGUUAUCCGGAUUUUUUGGGCGUAAAGGGAACGCAGGCGGUCUUUUAAGGCUGAUGUGAAAGCCUUCGGCUUAACCGGAGUAGUGCAUUGGAAACUGGGAGACUUGAGUGCAGAAGAGGAGAGUGGAACGCCAUGUGUAGCGGUGAAAUGCGUAGAUAUAUGGAAGAACACCAGUGGCGAAAGCGGCUCUCUGGUCUGUAACUGACGCUGAGGUUCGAAAGCGUGGGUAGCAAACAGGAUUAGAUACCCCAGUAGUC
This 465-nucleotide ribosomal RNA is filed under the name uncultured bacterium. RNAcentral describes it as "partial 16S ribosomal RNA". It matches the Rfam family "Bacterial small subunit ribosomal RNA", at positions 338 to 795 of the family's 1533-position model. The record is from RNAcentral.